UCCACUCCGUUAAAUAUGAUCUAGAGUAUUUGAAACUUCUAGAAAAUAAAUUUCGUAAUUUUUCGAAAUCAUAAUAAAGUCCAUCAAGCGGGCAUAAAAUGAACGGUCAAAAUCAAACGAUGUCUUAAAAAUGGAUGAUCGGAUCCUUCAAUUUAAGAUCGGAGUUAUUGAUCUUUAUCUAGGUAGUGAAUAGAAUUUUCUAUCAAAAAUUCAACCUAUUCGGAUUCUUUUGCACCGUUAAACUAGCAAGUAUUCCAUACCGGUCGUUAAAAAUUGUCAAUUUUGUAAGCUUUUGAUCGUAAGGUAAAUGAUGUUGAAAAAUUAUGAAAUUUAAUUUCUAGAUGUUUCAAAUGCUCUAAAUAACGUUUAACGGUGUGGAUCGUCGAUUCGGAAGCUCUAUCAUCGAAAACAACUUAUAAGUACGAGGGCGAUCGUUCUCAUAAUAGUAUAAUAGCCGGACUAUAUAUAUAUAUAUAUAUAUAUAUAUAGAGAGAGAGAGAGAGAGAGAGAGAGAGAGAGAGAGAGAGAGUGCGG
RNAcentral lists this long non-coding RNA (534 nucleotides) under Ananas comosus (pineapple). Its description in RNAcentral is "long non-coding RNA (ACOM_LNC042514)". Lineage: Eukaryota; Viridiplantae; Streptophyta; Magnoliopsida; Poales; Bromeliaceae. The record is from RNAcentral.